RNAcentral lists this long non-coding RNA (888 nucleotides) under Rattus norvegicus (Norway rat). RNAcentral's name for it is "long non-coding RNA NONRATT023832". Lineage: Eukaryota; Metazoa; Chordata; Mammalia; Rodentia; Muridae. The record is from RNAcentral.
UGAGCAGCACCUUGAUUUCAGGAGGGAGAAGGGGAAGUUCGUUCUGGGUACUCUGAGACCCACGCAGGCGAAGUCUGGAGCCGCGACAUGGAUGCAGUGAGCUAUGACGAUGUGCAUGUGAACUUCACUCAGGAAGAAUGGGUUUUGCUGGAUCCUUCCCAGAAGAGUCUCUACAAAGAUGUGAUGCUGGAGACCUACAGGAACCUCAGUGCCAUAGGCUACAAUUGGGAAGACCAUCAUACUGAAGAACACUGUCAAAGUUCUAGAAGACGCGGAAGGUAAUGUUCAUGUAUAAGCUGAUACGACUUCGCCUCUGAAGAAACCGUAAUAUGUCCUGGAAGUUUUAAAGAACAGAAACAGCGUCAAAAAGUAUUCCUUUAAGUGUAUAGAUGAUUCUUAAAUUCUCAUCAAACCAUGCACCUCAACGUCAGGUAUCUGAUUUGUAUUUGCUAGACAUUUCUCAAACAAGGAAGACAUGGAAACAGUGCCUUAACACAUAUCACUAUUUGAAUCAUAGCACCAUACAGAAAAUCCCUAUGAAUGCUAGGAAUGUGGAAAUUCUUCUGUGUGUUCUGGUUCACUUUACAAAUGGACUAUGACUCACACUGUGGGAAAAGUUUUGAAUGCAAUCAGUACGGAAAAGCUCUGAGUUCUUUCAGCUCUUUUUAGUUAUAUGAAAAACCUCAUAUAGAAAAAGGAUGCUGUGAUUGGGAGUGUAAUAAAUGUUCUUACAGUCACUGGUGUCUUCAAAGACUCAAGAGAUGAUCGCAUAAUGUGGGGAAUAGCAUGAUUGUAACAAAGUGACAAAACCUUAAGUUCUGAUUCCUCCUUACAUCAGACCACAUUGUAAAAAUAAUAAGCCAUAGAGAUAAAAAAGAUUAAUCAUGU